UGGGGAAUAUUGGGCAAUGGGCGGAAGCCUGACCCAGCAACGCCGCGUGAAGGAAGAAGGCCCUCGGGUUGUAAACUUCUUUUGUCAGGGACGAAACAAAUGACGGUACCUGACGAAUAAGCCACGGCUAACUACGUGCCAGCAGCCGCGGUAAUACGUAGGUGGCAAGCGUUAUCCGGAUUUACUGGGUGUAAAGGGCGUGUAGGCGGGAGAGCAAGUCAGAUGUGAAAUUCCAGGGCUCAACCCAUAAACUGCUUUCAAAACUGUUUUUCUUGAGUGAAGUAGAGGCAGGCGGAAUUCCUAGUGUAGCGGUGAAAUGCGUAAAUAUUAGGAGGAACACCAGUGGCGAAGGCGGCCUGCUGGGCUUUAACUGACGCUGAGGCUCGAAAGUGUGGGGAGCAAACAGGAUUAGAUACC
This 417-nucleotide ribosomal RNA is filed under the name uncultured bacterium. RNAcentral's name for it is "bacterial SSU rRNA". It matches the Rfam family "Bacterial small subunit ribosomal RNA", at positions 355 to 786 of the family's 1533-position model. The record is from RNAcentral.